RNAcentral lists this long non-coding RNA (277 nucleotides) under Physcomitrium patens. RNAcentral's name for it is "long non-coding RNA (PPAT_LNC010813)". Lineage: Eukaryota; Viridiplantae; Streptophyta; Bryopsida; Funariales; Funariaceae. The record is from RNAcentral.
GACAAGAGGAAAGUCUUCUUCAUUCUUGUCAACUCCUUUCUUGCUUCCAGUCUAGUUUCAAGGGUCUCUAGUUUUCUUGUCUUUUGGCAAUAGCCAUUCUAGUUUUUCUUUCAAUAUACAUACUUGUUUAUUCAUAUUUUGUUACCUUUUUUUGAGUGAAGGCUCACUUGUAUGAAUUGCUUUUUCAUCGAGUUCUUGUCCUUGACAUCCUCUUCAAGUCGAGUUAAAAUCUUUUCACAAUCUUGUAUAUGAUCAACAAUAUAUUUGCGACACCCCC